CCUACGGGAGGCUGCAGUGAGGAAUAUUGGUCAAUGGGCGCUAGCCUGAACCAGCCAAGUAGCGUGAAGGAUGACUGCCCUAUGGGUUGUAAACUUCUUUUAUAUGGGAAUAAAGUGCAGUAUGUAUACUGCUUUGCAUGUACCUUAUGAAUAAGGAUCGGCUAACUCCGUGCCAGCAGCCGCGGUAAUACGGAGGAUCCGAGCGUUAUCCGGAUUUAUUGGGUUUAAAGGGAGCGUAGGCGGGUUGUUAAGUCAGUUGUGAAAGUUUGCGGCUCAACCGUAAAAUUACAGUUGAUACUGGCAGCCUUGAGUACAGUAGAGGUAGGCGGAAUUCGUGGUGUAGCGGUGAAAUGCUUAGAUAUCACGAAGAACUCCGAUUGCGAAGGCAGCCUGCUGGACUGUAACUGACGCUGAUGCUCGAAAGUGUGGGUAUCAAACAGGAUUAGAUACCCUAGUAGUC
This 460-nucleotide ribosomal RNA is filed under the name uncultured bacterium. Its description in RNAcentral is "partial 16S ribosomal RNA". It matches the Rfam family "Bacterial small subunit ribosomal RNA", at positions 338 to 795 of the family's 1533-position model. The record is from RNAcentral.